This 78-nucleotide transfer RNA is filed under the name Proteus mirabilis. Its description in RNAcentral is "tRNA-Leu". It matches the Rfam family "tRNA". From Rfam's summary of the family: Transfer RNA (tRNA) molecules are approximately 80 nucleotides in length. Their secondary structure includes four short double-helical elements and three loops (D, anti-codon, and T loops). Further hydrogen bonds mediate the characteristic L-shaped molecular structure. tRNAs have two regions of fundamental functional importance: the anti-codon, which is responsible for specific mRNA codon recognition, and the 3' end, to which the tRNAs corresponding amino acid is attached (by aminoacyl-tRNA synthetases). tRNAs cope with the degeneracy of the genetic code in two manners: having more than one tRNA (with a specific anti-codon) for a particular amino acid; and 'wobble' base-pairing, i.e. permitting non-standard base-pairing at the 3rd anti-codon position. The record is from RNAcentral. RNAcentral also lists the same sequence under 1 other name. Lineage: Bacteria; Pseudomonadati; Pseudomonadota; Gammaproteobacteria; Enterobacterales; Morganellaceae.
GCAGGCGUGGCGCAAUUUGGCAGACGCGUUGGAUUUAGGUUCCAAAUGUUGUGAGUUCGAGUCUCACCGCCUGCACCA